This 253-nucleotide ribosomal RNA is filed under the name uncultured bacterium. RNAcentral's name for it is "partial 16S ribosomal RNA". It matches the Rfam family "Bacterial small subunit ribosomal RNA", at positions 524 to 776 of the family's 1533-position model. The record is from RNAcentral.
UACGAAGGGUGCAAACGUUGCUCGGAAUUAUUGGGCGUAAAGCGCACGUAGGCGGCUUGGCAAGUCGGAUGUGAAAUCCCUCGGCUCAACCAAGGAAGUGCAUCCGAAACUGCUGAGCUUGAGUUCUUAAGAGGAUCGCGGAAUUCCCGGUGUAGAGGUGAAAUUCGUAGAUAUCGAGAAGAACACCGGUGGCGAAGGCGGCCAUCUGGACGGUGACUGACGCUGAGACGCGAAAGCGUGGGGAGCAAACAGG